Non-coding RNA from Podarcis muralis (Common wall lizard), 1035 nucleotides. The record is from RefSeq and is a predicted model, not a curated record. NCBI's taxonomy places the organism in Eukaryota, Metazoa, Chordata, Lepidosauria, Squamata, Lacertidae.
AUCUAUCUAUCUAUCUAUAUCUAUCUAUCUAAUCUUCAGAGUCUCAUUUAUCUUGCUUGGGACCAUUUGAAAAUCAUCUUCUUUCGAUUCGGCUUUCUUUUAAAAACCAAUAAUGGUAUCCACUUCUCAGAUUCUGAGUGCAUGUGGUGUGAUAGGCUAUUAUUUUUUCUUUCAGGAAGCUUUGGGAGCAGAUGCCUUAUGAGCCACAAAGGAAGAAAAUGGUACCUUGGCUCCUGAACAGUUUAGUUGAUGAACAAAUCGGCUCCUGGACGCCGCAAAACCGAAAGGAUUUGAACCACCGACCUUCUGAUUGCAAGUCCUAGGCUCUGUGGUUUAACCCACAGCGCCACCGGCGUCCCUCUACAAAGGGCAGUGCUAGCUAAAAUUUGGGGCUGGAUUUAAGCAAUGAAUUAAUCUGAAUGGCUGUUUCCUUUCAACCUUGUUGAGAACGUAAUGUUAAAGGUGCCUUGGAGAGGCAGCACAGAACGGUCUCUGGGUGUGAUAACAGUCCCACCUCUUGAUGGAAACUGCUGGCAAAAGCUCCCUCUUGUGGACACAGCUCCCUCUUUGGCUACACCUGAAGUCAGACACAGUAACUGGUUGACGCCCAGUCUCUGAUUUUCAAGGGUGCUAUGUGCAUGCAGUGUGAAAGGUUGGCAGCAAGCGGUGAUGGCAUAUUGCCUUGCCUGUGGGCUCUCGGCUGCUGCCAUGUUCUUGAAUGCAGCGAGGUGAUGACGGCUUCUCUCUACAGGUGUGAGAUCUGUGGAUACCAAUGCCGGCAGUGAGCUUCUCUCAACUGGCACAUGAAGAAGCAUACCUCAAAAGCCCAGUACAACUUCACUUGCGAGCACUGCAGAAAGCGCUUUGAGAAACUGGACGCUGUCAAGUUCCACAAGCUAAAGAGCCACCCUAGAUCACAAAGCUGCCUGAUCCUGACUAUGAACCUCUUUAUUGAAUGCCCCAUUACAGGUUCCUUUUUAAACAAAAAACAAAAAACAACAACAAUUUUUAUUAGGAAUUUCAACAAUUAACAAU